GGUUAUAAGAUCCCUCAAAGAUGAUGAGGUUAAUAGGUUCGAGGUGGAAGCAUGGUGACAUGUGGAGCUGACGAAUACUAAUCGAUCGAAGACUUAAUCAAA
RNAcentral lists this ribosomal RNA (102 nucleotides) under Staphylococcus aureus. RNAcentral's name for it is "partial 23S ribosomal RNA". It matches the Rfam family "Bacterial large subunit ribosomal RNA", at positions 2824 to 2925 of the family's 2925-position model. Lineage: Bacteria; Bacillati; Bacillota; Bacilli; Caryophanales; Staphylococcaceae. The record is from RNAcentral.